This 524-nucleotide long non-coding RNA is filed under the name Trifolium pratense (red clover). RNAcentral's name for it is "long non-coding RNA (TPRA_LNC000853)". Lineage: Eukaryota; Viridiplantae; Streptophyta; Magnoliopsida; Fabales; Fabaceae. The record is from RNAcentral.
CUAUUUAAUUGUUGUAAACAUGAGCUUUAAAGAUCAAAAAAUGAUAAAAUAAAAUUCUAUUUGAUACAUGCAAUAAGUGGAAAAUAUGGAUCAAAUUUUCAACUUUGUUAAUGUUAUGAUAUUCAUUCUUUCCCUUUUUCUUGUUUCGACGCAAUGUCUACAUGGUAAAUCAUUUUUAUCUCCUUUUCAAAUUUCCUUCUUUACUUCGUACACAUCAUAUCCAUGUACUCGUGACUGAUUGUCCCUUUGUUUCCAUCUCUAAGACCCACACACAUCCUAAAAGAUUGAGGUGUCGCAAAGGUUUUUGUGUAUGACAAUAAAGCUCUAUAGAUUAUAUGAUUGUCCGGCCCAAAAGAAUACACAAAUGCACAACUAGAAUAUUCCACGAGUUCUUAUUUAGUUAUUAUGACCACACAUUAAAUGAAUUUUCUUUCGACAUUUCUAAUUUCACAUAUAUUUAUUAGUUUUGUACUUUAAGAUGAUGCAAGUGAAAUGAAAUAAAGCAUGAAAAAUAUUAUCUACAA